UCCAUGGAGGACUAGUGGUUAGGCCUCGGUGGUCUCACCGCCGCAGCCAGGGUUCAAUUCCCGGCCAGGAAA
Molecule: non-coding RNA, 72 nt
Organism: Pangasianodon gigas (Mekong giant catfish)
Lineage: Eukaryota; Metazoa; Chordata; Actinopteri; Siluriformes; Pangasiidae
Source: the annotation of a GenBank genome assembly